GAUGAACGCUGGCGGCGUGCCUAAUACAUGCAAGUCGAGCGAACGGACGAGAAGCUUGCUUCUCUGAUGUUAGCGGCGGACGGGAGAGUAACACGUGGAUAACCUACCUAUAAGACUGGGAUAACUUCGGGAAACCGGAGCUAAUACCGGAUAAUAUUUUGAACCGCAUGGUUCAAAAGUGAACGACGGUCUUGCUGUCACUUAUCGAUGGAUCCGCGCUGCAUUAGCUAGUUGGUAAGGUAAAGGCUUACCAAGGCAACUAUGCAUAGCCGACCGGAGAGGGUGAUAGCCCACACUGGAAGUGGGACACGGUCCAGACGCCUACGGGAGGCAGCAGUAUGGAAUCGUCCGCAAUGGGCGAAAGCCUGGCGGAGCGGCGCCGCGUGAGUGAUGGAGAUCUUCGGAUCGUAAAACUCUGUUAUUAGGGAAGAACAUAUGUGUAAGUUACUGUGCACAUCGUGACGGUACCUAAUCAGAAAGCCACGGCUAACUACGUG
Molecule: ribosomal RNA, 497 nt
Filed under: uncultured bacterium
Lineage: Bacteria
Description: partial 16S ribosomal RNA
Rfam family: Bacterial small subunit ribosomal RNA
Source: RNAcentral